Long non-coding RNA from Xenopus laevis (African clawed frog), 249 nucleotides. RefSeq lists it as uncharacterized. The record is from RefSeq and is a predicted model, not a curated record. The transcript has 3 exons. NCBI's taxonomy places the organism in Eukaryota, Metazoa, Chordata, Amphibia, Anura, Pipidae.
AGGUACAGACAGAAGCCAUUGUCUAAAUAUUCCUCCUAGAACAAAGCAUCGGAACAAAUUCACUUCCGGAAAAAGGAGAAAGACAAAGUAGAAGAAGAGGAUCACUCCAAGAUGCUCACCUAGAAGAACCCCAGUUUCUAUGAUACAAACUCCCUAAUCGUUUUACUGAAAAGAUGGGGUUAACUAUAGAGGACCAAUCGUUGCAGCGGAGCACUCCGGAGUCCUUUUGAAAGAAUCGCUUAUUUAGUU